Molecule: ribosomal RNA, 253 nt
Filed under: uncultured bacterium
Lineage: Bacteria
Description: partial 16S ribosomal RNA
Rfam family: Bacterial small subunit ribosomal RNA
Source: RNAcentral
UACGAAGGGGGCUAGCGUUGUUCGGAAUCACUGGGCGUAAAGCGCACGUAGGCGGAUCUUUAAGUCAGGGGUGAAAUCCCAAGGCUCAACCUUGGAACUGCCUUUGAUACUGGGGAUCUCGAGUCCGGAAGAGGUUGGUGGAACUGCGAGUGUAGAGGUGAAAUUCGUAGAUAUUCGCAAGAACACCAGUGGCGAAGGCGGCCAACUGGUCCGGUACUGACGCUGAGGUGCGAAAGCGUGGGGAGCAAACAGG